Long non-coding RNA from Dalotia coriaria, 570 nucleotides. RefSeq lists it as uncharacterized. NCBI's taxonomy places the organism in Eukaryota, Metazoa, Arthropoda, Insecta, Coleoptera, Staphylinidae. The transcript has 3 exons. The record is from RefSeq and is a predicted model, not a curated record.
UUACUAUUCAUAUCUGAAGUUGACACUAUGAAAAUAUAAAUGAAAAUUGUGACGUUAAAAUUCAGAUCUAUAAAUUUAAAUAUAUAAAUUUUUAAAUUUAAUCUUGAGUACUUUUAUGUUUACAUUAUGGGACACGUAUUGACUUUAUUAGUCAUUCUACUAUUUCCAACACUUUGCAUGGCCAUUAGAUGCGAAACUUGUUUUUUUUGCGACGGAUCAGAUUAUCGCGUUACUGACCACUGUGAUGUAUGCACCUACGUAGGAUAUGUGGGACAUGACAAUAAAGAAUAUAGUAUUAAAAAACUAUGUGAUCAAAAAUGUGAUUUCCUUCCCGCACUUACAGAACAACGUCUCAUCGAAACAAAUGGAUAUUGUUACGAUUGUUAUACUCACCUUUGCAACACAGGUCCCCGCAGAAGUAACGUUCUACAAAUCACCAAUAGUCGUCUUAUUAUAGUUAUUUUCGUAUUCAUCCUAUUCUGUUUAUGAAAUGGAAAUGUAGGUAUAUGAACAAAAAUUGAACAGUUUAAAUAAAUUUAAUGUAUAAAUUUAAUAAACAUGUUAAAGUAA